This 59-nucleotide transfer RNA is filed under the name Ictidomys tridecemlineatus (thirteen-lined ground squirrel). RNAcentral's name for it is "Spermophilus tridecemlineatus (thirteen-lined ground squirrel) tRNA". It matches the Rfam family "tRNA", at positions 7 to 64 of the family's 71-position model. Rfam says of the family: Transfer RNA (tRNA) molecules are approximately 80 nucleotides in length. Their secondary structure includes four short double-helical elements and three loops (D, anti-codon, and T loops). The record is from Rfam by way of RNAcentral. Lineage: Eukaryota; Metazoa; Chordata; Mammalia; Rodentia; Sciuridae.
GUAGCUCAGUGGGAGAGCACUCACCUAGCAUGUGAGAGGCAUUGGGUUCGAGUCUCAGC